CUNUUUCGUGAAAUUUGGGUUAAGUCCCGCAACGAGCGCAACCCUUGUCCACUAGUUACUAACAGUUCGGCUGAGCACUCUAGGGAGACUGCCGGUGAUAAAUCCGGAGGAAGGUGGGGACAGACGUCAAGUCAUCAUGGCCCUUACGGGCAGGGCUACACACAGUGCUACAAUGGCCGGUACAGAAGGCUGCCAACCCGCGAGGGGGAGCCAAUCCCACAAAGCCGGUCGUAGUCGUGGAGUCUGCAACUCGACUCCAUGAAGUCGGAAUCGCUAGUAAUCGCUAAAUCAGCAAGNGUC
This 300-nucleotide ribosomal RNA is filed under the name uncultured bacterium. RNAcentral describes it as "bacterial SSU rRNA". It matches the Rfam family "Bacterial small subunit ribosomal RNA", at positions 1059 to 1360 of the family's 1533-position model. The record is from RNAcentral.